UAUUGCACAAUGGGCGAAAGCCUGAUGCAGCGACGCCGCGUGAGGGAUGACGGCCUUCGGGUUGUAAACCUCUUUCAGUAGGGAACAAGGCCAGCAUUUUUGUUGGUUGAGGGUACUUGCAGAAGAAGCGCCGGCUAACUACGUGCCAGCAGCCGCGGUAAUACGUAGGGCGCAAGCGUUAUCCGGAAUUAUUGGGCGUAAAGAGCUCGUAGGCGGUUUGUCGCGUCUGCCGUGAAAGUCCGGGGCUCAACUCCGGAUCUGCGGUGGGUACGGGCAGACUAGAGUGAUGUAGGGGAGACUGGAAUUCCUGGUGUAGCGGUGAAAUGCGCAGAUAUCAGGAGGAACACCGAUGGCGAAGGCAGGUCUCUGGGCAUUAACUGACGCUGAGGAGCGAAAGCAUGGGGAGCGAACAGG
Molecule: ribosomal RNA, 414 nt
Filed under: uncultured bacterium
Lineage: Bacteria
Description: bacterial SSU rRNA
Rfam family: Bacterial small subunit ribosomal RNA
Source: RNAcentral